Long non-coding RNA from Betta splendens (Siamese fighting fish), 897 nucleotides. RefSeq lists it as uncharacterized. The transcript is spliced from 5 exons. The record is from RefSeq and is a predicted model, not a curated record. Lineage: Eukaryota; Metazoa; Chordata; Actinopteri; Anabantiformes; Osphronemidae.
AAAUAUACUGUAUGCAUUACUGAUGGAGCAAUAGAUAGUUUUACCAUAAACCCUCAACAAAAAUCUUUUCUGCAGGAAAUUUAACUGGACAUACAUUUUUGUGCAAAAUAUUAACUCAGGAAAUCGACAUUCAGGUUUUCAAAUACAUAUUUAAGUAAAACGUAUAGGGUUUUAAUGUAGAAUUUGGCCUAGUAGACAAAGCUGUGCUGUAAAUGAAGUAAAUGAGCUGCUGGUAAAUUAAUCAAAAAUGUUUUUUCCUAUUUAACAGUGUUAAAAGGGGGUAACGCCUGUAUGUACCAUUGAACUCUACCUUGAGAAUUGACAGUAACAGUACACACUAGAAAUAUCAGAUUCCUGACAUCUGUGUCUGUCAAUCAAGGGGCAAAGGGGAGCACAGUGCAGGGUGCUUAUGACCCGGUUUCAGAUUAAAAGCCGCCAUUAACACGAAUGUUCUAACCAUUCAGCCCAUGUUGCAGCUAAACUGAAGCGUCAUAUAAGACUAACAGUAAAUCACGACCUAAAGGACUCAACAAGCCAGAAAACACAAUGUCUUAUGACCGAAUUCUGUCCAUUGAAGAUUUGAGCGAUGUUCCAAACCCAUGGAAAGGAUUUAGUAUGAACCGCUGCUUAGUGGUGACACUGGUCGUGCUGCUCGUGAGCUCCAGUGUGCACACAGUGCACGAUGCUCUGGAGUAUUUUGUUGAGGAGACAGGUAUCAGGAGUUUCAUCAGAAGUGUGCAGGAUGGCUCAAUAACUCAGAUCUCCAUCUGGGACAGUAUAACGUGGUGGUGGGGAUCUGAAGAAGUUGGAGUGAUAAGAAGAAGAAAAAAGCCAAUAAGCAAUAGAACAAUUAUGAAACCCAAAGCUAAAGAAUAAAGAAGCUCCUGAAAGUCACAA